CCUACGGGUGGCAGCAGUAGGGAAUUUUCGGCAAUGGGGGGAACCCUGACCGAGCAACGCCGCGUGCACGAAGAAGUUAUUCGUAAUGUAAAGUUCUUUUAACAGGGAAGAAAGAGAAAUUUGACGGUACCUGAAGAAUAAGCUCCGGCAAACUACGUGCCCGCAGCCGCGGUCAUACGUAGGGAUCAAGCGUUAUCCGGAAUUGUUGGGCGUAAAGGGUGCGUAGAUGGCAUAGAAAGUCUUUUGUAAAAAUGCUGGGCUAAACCCAGUAGGGCAAAGGAUACUGCAAAGCUAGAGUAUGACAGAGGCAAGUGGAACGAAAUGUGUAGCGGUAAAAUGCGUAAAGAUAUGUAAGAACACCAGUGGCGAAGGCGGCUUGCUGGGUCGAUACUGACAUUGAGGCACGAAAGCGUGGGGAGCAAACAGGAUUAGAUACCCCAGUAGUC
RNAcentral lists this ribosomal RNA (446 nucleotides) under uncultured bacterium. Its description in RNAcentral is "partial 16S ribosomal RNA". It matches the Rfam family "Bacterial small subunit ribosomal RNA", at positions 338 to 795 of the family's 1533-position model. The record is from RNAcentral.